This 28-nucleotide non-coding RNA is filed under the name Homo sapiens (human). Lineage: Eukaryota; Metazoa; Chordata; Mammalia; Primates; Hominidae. The record is from RNAcentral.
UGGGAAACUAGUGUCUGACAUCAACAGG